GCCAGAAAACUGGAAUCAUACCAGAGACCUUUAGAUCUUCAGUCUAACGCUCUCCCAAACUGAUCUAUUUGG
RNAcentral lists this transfer RNA (72 nucleotides) under Cordylochernes scorpioides. RNAcentral describes it as "tRNA-Phe". The record is from RNAcentral. Lineage: Eukaryota; Metazoa; Arthropoda; Arachnida; Pseudoscorpiones; Chernetidae.